This 1952-nucleotide long non-coding RNA is filed under the name Homo sapiens (human). Its description in RNAcentral is "GPR55 cis regulatory suppressor of immune response RNA". Lineage: Eukaryota; Metazoa; Chordata; Mammalia; Primates; Hominidae. The record is from RNAcentral.
GCAGGCUUCCUGGGGAACCAUUUGAGCUUUGAAGGUGGGGAAGAGGAAUGUCAGAGAGUGGGCAAAAUACAACAGGAAAGGUCCAAAUUCACCCUCUGAGGGCCCGGGGCACGGGGGCAGCCUGCUCUCCUCCUGGGGCCCUGUUCCCUGUGGGGACUGGAAGAGAGGCUUUGAGUCUAGGGCCUGGGGCAGCCAGGACUGACGGGGGUGCAGUCCUAGAAGGGUCGGCAGUCACGGUGGCCCACCAUGGCAUCUCCGUAUCCUUGCUGCAUGCUGCACCCACUCCAGCUGCCAGAGCACGGAGGCAGAGACGUGGGAGCCGAUGAAGGUCGCACGCCAGCCUCCCACCUGUGAGACAAAGGGCCCUGUCACUGGAAGCCACGUCCAGCCUGGCCCCGCAGGAGCCAGGGCUCUGCGCCUAACGGAGGACUGAUGGGAAAGGGAAGGCUGGCAGCAGUGAGCAGGGGCUAAGGACUGUCCUUGGAUCUCAGUAGGACAGCUGACCUUCCCUCCACCCAAUGACUGCUCCAGUCUGAUCGUUCCUGGCCACCUGAUAAUCUCUUUGUGCAAACACCAGGAAGCCCUGGUUAGAGGUGUGGACACCAGGUGUUCUUGAGGAGGACAGUGGUGACUCAGUUUUAUCUGACCCCAUGCUCUCAAGUUCCUUUUCUGUGAGACACUUCUUAUGUGCUACUUUGGACCCUCUCACUUAUCUGUGGGCCAUUGGCCACUGGCCCCAGCCACAGCUGAGACCACCAACUCUGCAUGGACUCAGACAGGCUUCACCCAGGCACACCCAGCAGCCCCUGCCUCAGGUCCCAGCUAUGCACCCCUUAGGCUUGCCUGGAUACUAGGAUGGGAGACACUGCAUCCAUCCAUCCACGACCAGCAAGUAGAGGCAAUUAAUACCCUUCAGGCGACCCAACGCGAGCUGGGAGCCUGUGCACAAAUUAUUCUCCUUUUCUCCCAAAAGGAUUGUGCCGAGAAACAUUUGUGCAGCUUCCCGGAGGAUGGCCCUUGGGGUCGAGCAAGCAGUUAUGUUUGUUACCAAGCCUCGGCCAGCUCCAUAACACACCCUGGAGUUGGCACCACUUCCUUCCCAGCUACACUCCCCUUUCUCUCACACCUGCUCCCUGGGGUCACCUCCCUACCAAAGGAGGGGCACAGGAGCCUUUGUUUCCCGCUCUGCUUUCCAAGAAACCCAAACCAAGCCAUGCUGAGUUCCUUCCAGAGCUCCACUUCCACUUCACGGGAUCCUCUUAGUACCACAGUCAGCACCCAACAUGCCUCUGAGAUGGGCGUGUGAUCCUGACUGGCCAGUCGGCGCCUUAUUUCUCUGGCCACAGAACUUGGCUCAGGAGAUGACAUGUGACCAAUCCGAAUUUUCCCUGGGGACUGAUACGUGGACACCAGGGACCUCGUGCACCAGUAAGGUCGCUGCCUUCCUUCUCUGCCAGAGAUGAUUCUGUCUCAUCCAAUCAAGACUUGAGUGGACUCCAGCUUCCCAGAAAGCCUUUCUCCAUCAUCCCAGCCCCACGAGAUCUUACCCGCUUCACUGGUAACACCCAGAAUCCUCAGCACAACUGCUACCACCAGGCACACAUGGUUCUACCUGGCUAACUACAGUGGAUUCAUUGCCCAAAUGAGGACACAGUGAGGAGGUGGUCAUCAGCAACCCAGGAAGAGUGGCCUCACCAGAAACUGACCCUGCCAGACCUCGAUCUGAGACUUCCAGCCUCCAGAACUGUGGGACAUAAAUUCCUGUUGUUUAAGGUACUCAGUCUGCAGUGUUUUAUUAUGGCAGCUCAGGUAGACUGACAACAUACUUGCCAUAUAUGGGUGUUUUUUGCAGUGUAAAGUCCCAGGGAAGAAAUAUCAAUAGCUGACAGAUCUCUUAACCAUCAAUUUCAUCCCACUUUGUUCAUAUAAUUGAAAUAGUCCUGUCUUUGGGG